UACGUAGGGUGCGAGCGUUAAUCGGAAUUACUGGGCGUAAAGCGUGCGCAGGCGGCUUUGCAAGACAGAUGUGAAAUCCCUGGCUCAACCUGGGAACUGCAUUUGUGACUGCAAGGCUAGAGUACGGCAGAGGGGGAUGGAAUUCCGCGUGUAGCAGUGAAAUGCGUAGAUAUGCGGAGGAACACCGAUGGCGAAGGCAAUCCCCUGGGCCUGCACUGACGCUCAUGCACGAAAGCGUGGGGAGCAAACAGG
RNAcentral lists this ribosomal RNA (252 nucleotides) under uncultured bacterium. Its description in RNAcentral is "partial 16S ribosomal RNA". It matches the Rfam family "Bacterial small subunit ribosomal RNA", at positions 524 to 776 of the family's 1533-position model. The record is from RNAcentral.